AAAUUGAAGAGUUUGAUCAUGGCUCAGAUUGAACGCUGGCGGCAGGCCUAACACAUGCAAGUCGAACGGUAACAGGAAACAGCUUGCUGUUUCGCUGACGAGUGGCGGACGGGUGAGUAAUGUCUGGGAAACUGCCUGAUGGAGGGGAUAACUACUGGAAACGGUAGCUAAUACCGCAUAACGUCGCAAGACCAAAGAGGGGGACCUUCGGGCCUCUUGCCAUCGGAUGUGCCCAGAUGGGAUUAGCUGGUAGGUGGGGUAACGGCUCACCUAGGCGACGAUCCCUAGCUGGUCUGAGAGGAUGACCAGCCACACUGGAACUGAGACACGGUCCAGACUCCUACGGGAGGCAGCAGUGGGGAAUAUUGCACAAUGGGCGCAAGCCUGAUGCAGCCAUGCCGCGUGUAUGAAGAAGGCCUUCGGGUUGUAAAGUACUUUCAGCGGGGAGGAAGGGAGUAAAGUUAAUACCUUUGCUCAUUGACGUUACCCGCAGAAGAAGCACCGGCUAACUCCGUGCCAGCAGCCGCGGUAAUACGGAGGGUGCAAGCGUUAAUCGGAAUUACUGGGCGUAAAGCGCACGCAGGCGGUUUGUUAAGUCAGAUGUGAAAUCCCCGGGCUCAACCUGGGAACUGCAUCUGAUACUGGCAAGCUUGAGUCUCGUAGGGGGGUAGAAUUCCAGGUGUAGCGGUGAAAUGCGUAGAGAUCUGGAGGAAUACCGGUGGCGAAGGCGGCCCCCUGGACGAAGACUGACGCUCAGGUGCGAAAGCGUGGGGAGCAAACAGGAUUAGAUACCCUGGUAGUCCACGCCGUAAACGAUGUCGACUUGGAGGUUGUGCCCUUGAGGCGUGGCUUCCGGAGCUAACGCGUUAAGUCGACCGCCUGGGGAGUACGGCCGCAAGGUUAAAACUCAAAUGAAUUGACGGGGCCCGCACAAGCGGUGGAGCAUGUGGUUUAAUUCGAUGCAACGCGAAGAACCUUACCUGGUCUUGACAUCCACAGAACCUUGUAGAGAUACGAGGGUGCCUUCGGGAACUGUGAGACAGGUGCUGCAUGGCUGUCGUCAGCUCGUGUUGUGAAAUGUUGGGUUAAGUCCCGCAACGAGCGCAACCCUUAUCCUUUGUUGCCAGCGGUCCGGCCGGGAACUCAAAGGAGACUGCCAGUGAUAAACUGGAGGAAGGUGGGGAUGACGUCAAGUCAUCAUGCCCUUACGACCAGGGCUACACACGUGCUACAAUGGCGCAUACAAAGAGAAGCGACCUCGCGAGAGCAAGCGGACCUCAUAAAGUGCGUCGUAGUCCGGAUUGGAGUCUGCAACUCGACUCCAUGAAGUCGGAAUCGCUAGUAAUCGUGGAUCAGAAUGCCACGGUGAAUACGUUCCCGGCCUUGUACACACCGCCCGUCACACCAUGGGAGUGGGUUGCAAAAGAAGUAGGUAGCUUAACCUUCGGGAGGGCGCUUACCACUUUGUGAUUCAUGACUGGGGUGAAGUCGUAACAAGGUAACCGUAGGGGAACCUGCGGUUGGAUCACCUCCUUACCUUAAAGAA
Molecule: ribosomal RNA, 1546 nt
Filed under: Escherichia fergusonii
Lineage: Bacteria; Pseudomonadati; Pseudomonadota; Gammaproteobacteria; Enterobacterales; Enterobacteriaceae
Description: bacterial SSU rRNA
Rfam family: Bacterial small subunit ribosomal RNA
Source: RNAcentral